Molecule: small nuclear RNA, 186 nt
Organism: Diceros bicornis minor
Lineage: Eukaryota; Metazoa; Chordata; Mammalia; Perissodactyla; Rhinocerotidae
Product: U2 spliceosomal RNA
Exons: 1
Source: RefSeq, a predicted model, not a curated record
AUUGUUUCUCAGCCUUUUGGCUAAGAUCAAGUGUAGUACCUAGUCUUACCAGUUUAAUAGCUAGGGAAUUGGUAAAAAUCCUGUUUUUGAGUGUUUAGGUCAGAUAGGAGAGCUGAGAGAGAUACUCAGUUUACUAACUAGCCUGAGGCUAUUUAAAGUCUUAUUGAAGGGUGCCAGGCUAGCUUA